This 2007-nucleotide long non-coding RNA is filed under the name Brassica rapa (field mustard). RNAcentral's name for it is "long non-coding RNA (BRAP_LNC008714)". Lineage: Eukaryota; Viridiplantae; Streptophyta; Magnoliopsida; Brassicales; Brassicaceae. The record is from RNAcentral.
UUCUUGUUUCCAAAUGUUCUUCAAGGUUGCAUCCUCAGCUACAAGCUCUUCAGGUUCAGGUUCAUUCUUCCAGUCCUUGGUGCUUUCCAUGAUCACAUCAUCCCCUCCCACUUCAAAAAGAUUUGUCCUCAAAUCUGUGUUACCUGCAAUAGAAGGGACCAAGUCAGUAACAUCAGAGUUUAUAAUCAGAUUACACUUACCUUGCAAGCCUCUUUGAUAGGCAUUAUUGCUGACUGGUUCUAUUAUAUAGAAGGGACUGAUCCAUUUGGCUCUCCUUACUCCUGAGGCAUUACUUAAACCUGAUACAUUGAAACAAGACAAGUGAACACAAGCAAAAACAUCAUAGAGUAAGAGUCUUAUCCCAAAGUUGUAUUUUAUCGGUUUUGGCUUGUAUGCUGCAUCUGGAGGUUCUUCUUUGAUGAGGAUGAAGCAAGUGACGUCCUGUUGUCUCUCCUGGUUUAGAUCAGGCGGCUUGAAACGUUUGUCUUCCUCACGCUUGUUCUUUCCCUUGGUAUGCUUCAAAGCUUCCAUAUAAUCUGCACAUGACUCUUUUGACAAAAACAAGUGCAUCAUAUUUGUGUAAUCAAUAAAAGAACUCUUGAAAACAUGAUUAGUUACCUUAGCAUGCUCACCUGGUCGCCAUAGAUAGGUUUGAGAUGUUCUAAACUCAGAAAAAUUCAAACAAAGUAAACACAUGAUCACCCGACUUGUAGAAUUCAUAACUCUUUCAUAUGAGAAGCUUUGGACAUGAUUCCAAUUCGACGUGAGACCCUGAUGAGUGUAGUUUCCAUUGCAGUUGAGUUUGUUGCUUAAUUCCUUCUGGGUGCUGAGAUAUGCUCCUCGGACUGCUCCUAUGUUAAACCUGGCGGCUAGACAGUUUCCAAGAUUUGAUUGUUGCAUCUCCAAUUUAGCCAAGGACUCAUCAUGGAUACUCUGAUCAUUAUAGCCCCUUUCUUCACCUGUACCUUUUUCAGCUUGUUUUGGACAAGUCAAGUGUGUUAUCAUGUCAAAGAAAGUGUUGUAGACCAGAAUGUCUCCAAAGCACAAAACAGCAUGAUUCCUCCAUCUAUUAUGUAUAUCAACAAAAAUAUUGCAGACCCAAUGAUGAGAUCCUAGGAUGAUGCUCUGGAACAGAUGGGAUAAUUCUUGCAGAAACGAAUCAAAGACUCAAGCUUCUCAAGGUAUGUGGAUCGAAUGGUGACACAAGAGGCUGCGGAAAGGCUCCUUGAUACUCCUAGGCAAUAGAUCGGAUAUGACACACCAAACUAGAGCCCUUAGUCUCUGGAUAUUACACACCAGAAGUUGGAUAUUACACACCAACACUCAAUCAACUCGACAAGCAAGAAGAAAAGAGAAAACAAAGGUUUUUGAUAAAAAGAUGGAUACUGAUACAAGGGGCCACGACCAGAAUAUAAAGGAGAAGCCUUGUACAUGCACAAGGUCUCGAAAAUACAAGGGAAAUAAAGACAAAGGCUCCCUUGGAAACACAACAAAGACUAGAGUUUUUUUUGAAAACUAAAUAACAUAAAAGCAUAGCUUAAAAUAUAAGAUAAGGUCUUCAUGUGGACAGACCAAGAUCAAUCAUCUAGGAGAUAGGAGAAGUAGACUUGUGGCCUCGUUAAAAACCUUCCUUUGGAAAAACCCAGUGGGACAAAACCAAAGGUUAGGAAAAGCACACACAAGCUACUUGCCUAGAUGAUAAUCAGCUUGAAGGUGGAGUAGCUUGAAUGAUGGUUAAGGUGUCUUGGAUGAUCAAGCUUCGGCCAAGACUAAUGUAUUCUUCUUGUUUCCAAAUGUUCUUCAAGGUUGCACCCUCAGCUACAAGCUCUUCAGGUUCAGGUUCAUGCUUCCAGUCCUUGGUGCUUUCCAUGAUCACAUCAUCCCCUCCCACUUCAAAAAGAUUUGUCCUCAAAUCUGUGUUACCUGCAAUAGAAGGGACCAAGUCAGUAACAUCAGAGUUUAUAAUCAGAUUACACUUACCUUGCAAGCCUCUUGGAUAGGCAUUAU